Molecule: ribosomal RNA, 304 nt
Filed under: Oxystele sinensis (rosy-base top shell)
Lineage: Eukaryota; Metazoa; Mollusca; Gastropoda; Trochida; Trochidae
Description: eukaryotic LSU rRNA
Rfam family: Eukaryotic large subunit ribosomal RNA
Source: RNAcentral
CCUCAGAUCAGACGAGACUACCCGCUGAAUUUAAGCAUAUCAGUAAGCGGAGGAAAAGAAACUAACAAGGAUUCCCUCAGUAACGGCGAGUGAAGCGGGAAGAGCCCAGCACCGAAUCCCCUGGUUUUGGGGUAGCGGGAAUUGUGGUGUUUGGGACGCCUAUCGGCGCUGUGUCCCUGUGCCCAAGUCCUUCUGAUCGGGGCCUUUCCCAUAGUGGGUGUCAGGCCUUUAGCGGCACGGGACUAGGCGUCCUUGAGCGUCCUUGGAGUCGGGUUGUUUGGGAAUGCAGCCCUAAGCGGGUGGU